Long non-coding RNA from Mugil cephalus (flathead mullet), 203 nucleotides. RefSeq lists it as uncharacterized. The record is from RefSeq and is a predicted model, not a curated record. The transcript is spliced from 2 exons. NCBI's taxonomy places the organism in Eukaryota, Metazoa, Chordata, Actinopteri, Mugiliformes, Mugilidae.
CUGGUGUGUGUGUGUGUGUGUGUGUGUGUGUGUGUGUGUGUGUGUGUGUGUGUGUGUGUGUGUGUGUGUGUGUGUGUGUGUGUGUGUGUGUGUGUGGAGCAUCCAUCGCUGUGAUUGGCACUGGUUAAAGUUUCUCAGCUGAAGGGGCUCUGGGUGGAACUCACAGCCCUCAUACUCCUCCAUCCUCUCCAUCCUCUGCACCU